GACGAACGCUGGCGGCGUGCUUAACACAUGCAAGUCGAACGGAAAGGCCCUGCUUUUGUGGGGUGCUCGAGUGGCGAACGGGUGAGUAACACGUGAGUAACCUGCCCUUGACUUUGGGAUAACUUCAGGAAACUGGGGCUAAUACCGGAUAGGAGCUCCUGCUGCAUGGUGGGGGUUGGAAAGUUUCGGUGGUUGGGGAUGGACUCGCGGCUUAUCAGCUUGUUGGUGGGGUAGUGGCUUACCAAGGCUUUGACGGGUAGCCGGCCUGAGAGGGUGACCGGGCACAUGGGGACUGAGAGACGGCCCAGAGUGCAACGGGAGGCAACAGUGGGGAGUAUUGCACAAUGGGAGGAAGCCUGAUGAAGCAACGCCGCGUGCGGGAUGACGGCCUUCGGGUUGUAAACCGCUUUCGCCUGUGACGAAGCGUGAGUGACGGUAAUGAGUAAAGAAGCACCGGCUAACUACGUG
This 468-nucleotide ribosomal RNA is filed under the name uncultured bacterium. Its description in RNAcentral is "partial 16S ribosomal RNA". It matches the Rfam family "Bacterial small subunit ribosomal RNA", at positions 28 to 507 of the family's 1533-position model. The record is from RNAcentral.